UGAGUACGAGAUGCUACGGCAUCGAAGCAGUCUAUGUCAUACUUCCAAGAAAAGCUUGCACUGUCAGAAACAGAUAAUGCCUGUACCAUAACCGACACAGGUGGGUAGGUAGAGUAUACUAAGGGGCGCGAGAUAACUCUCUCUAAGGAACUCGGCAAAAUGACUCCGUAACUUCGGGAGAAGGAGUGCCUUAUUUUUAAGGUUGCAAUAACAAGAUCCAAGCAACUGUUUACCAAAAACACAGGUCUCCGCUAAGUCGUAAGACGAUGUAUGGGGGCUGACGCCUGCCCAGUGCCAGAAGGUUAAAGAAGUCGGUUAGCAUUCGCGAAGCUGGUAACUGAAGCCCUGGUGAACGGCGGCCGUAACAAUAACGGUCCUAAGGUAGCGAAAUUCCUUGUCGGGUAAGUUCCGACCCGCACGAAAGGCGUAAUGAUUUGGAUACUGUCUCGGAGAGGGGCUCGGUGAAAUAGACUUGUCUGUGAAGAUGCGGACUACCUGCACCUGGACAGAAAGACCCUAUGAAGCUUUACUGUAACUUGAAAUUGAAAUUGGACUUUAUUUGCGCAGUAUAGGUGGGAGGCGUUGAAAAUAUUCUUGCGGGAAUAUUGGAGCCAUCAGUGAGAUACCACUCUUGUAAUGUUAGAUUUCUAACUUUAUAUCAUUAUCUGGUUAAAGAACAGUUUCAGGCGGGCAGUUUGACUGGGGCGGUCGCCUCCCAAAUGGUAACGGAGGCGCACAAAGGUUUCCUCUGAACGGGUAGAAAUCGUAUCUAGAGUGUAAAGGCAUAAGGAAGCUUGACUGUGAGACCUACAAGUCGAGCAGGGACGAAAGUCGGUCUUAGUGAUCUGACGGUGCUGAGUGGAAAGGCCGUCACUCAACGGAUAAAAGUUACUCUAGGAUAACAGGCUGAUCUCCCCCAAGAGUUCACAUCGACGGGGAGGUUUGGCACCUCGAUGUCGGCUCAUCGCAUCCUGGGGCGGUAGUACGUCCCAAGGGUUGGGCUGUUCGCCCAUGAAAGCGGUACGCGAGCUGGGUUCAGAACGUCGUGAGACAGUUCGGUCCAUAUCCGGUGUAGGCGUUAGAAUAUUGAGAGGAGCCUUCUUUAGUACGAGAGGACCGAGAAGGACAUACCUCUGGUGUACCAGUUAUCGUGCCAACGGUAAACGCUGGGUAGCUAUGUAUGGAGUGGAUAACCGCUGAAAGCAUCUAAGUGGGAAGCCCACCUCAAGAUAAGUAUUCUCA
RNAcentral lists this ribosomal RNA (1242 nucleotides) under metagenome. RNAcentral describes it as "bacterial LSU rRNA". It matches the Rfam family "Bacterial large subunit ribosomal RNA", at positions 1564 to 2816 of the family's 2925-position model. The record is from RNAcentral.